UGGCUCAGAUGGUAAAGCAUCUGCCUACAAUGCAGGAGAUCCGGGUUCAAUCCCUGG
Molecule: transfer RNA, 57 nt
Filed under: Bos taurus (domestic cattle)
Lineage: Eukaryota; Metazoa; Chordata; Mammalia; Artiodactyla; Bovidae
Also listed under: 5 other names
Rfam family: tRNA
About the family: Transfer RNA (tRNA) molecules are approximately 80 nucleotides in length.
Source: Rfam by way of RNAcentral